Molecule: ribosomal RNA, 433 nt
Filed under: uncultured bacterium
Lineage: Bacteria
Description: partial 16S ribosomal RNA
Rfam family: Bacterial small subunit ribosomal RNA
Source: RNAcentral
AACGAACGCUGGCGGCAUGCCUAACACAUGCAAGUCGAACGAGACCUUCGGGUCUGGUGGCGCACGGGUGCGUAACGCGUGGGAACCUGCCCUUAGGUUCGGAAUAACUCCCCGAAAGGGGUGCUAAUACCGGAUAAUGUCUUCGGACCAAAGAUUUAUCGCAUUUGGAUGGGCCCGCGUUGGUUUAGCUAGUUGGUAGGGUAAAAGCCUACCAAGGCGACGAUCCAUAGCUGGGCAGAGAGGAUGAUCAGCCACACUGGGACUGAGACACGGCCCAGACUCUUACGGGAGGCAGCAGUGGGGAAUAUUGGACAAUGGGCGAAAGCCUGAUCCAGCAAUGCCGCGUGAGUGAUGAAGGCCUUAGGGUUGUAAAGCUCUUUUACCCGGGAUGAUAAUGGCAGUACCGGGAGAAUAAGCACCGGCUAACUCCGUG